RNAcentral lists this ribosomal RNA (495 nucleotides) under uncultured bacterium. RNAcentral describes it as "partial 16S ribosomal RNA". It matches the Rfam family "Bacterial small subunit ribosomal RNA", at positions 28 to 507 of the family's 1533-position model. The record is from RNAcentral.
GACGAACGCUGGCGGCGUGCCUAAUACAUGCAAGUAGAACGCUGAAGGAGGAGCUUGCUCUUCUGGAUGAGUUGCGAACGGGUGAGUAACGCGUAGGUAACCUGCCUGGUAGCUGGGGAUAACUAUUGGAAACGAUAGCUAAUACCGCAUAACAGUACAUGUUGCAUGACAUUUACUUAAAAGGUGCAAUGGCAUCACUACCACAUGCACCUGCGUUGUAUUAUCUAGUUGGUGGGGUAACGGCUCACCAAGGCGACGAUACAUAGCCGACCUGAGAGGGUGAUCGGCCACACUGGGAGUGAGACACGGCACAGACUCCUACGGGAGGCAGCAGUAGUGAAUCUUCGGCAAUGGACGGAAGUCUGACCGAGCAACGCCGCGUGAGUGAAGAAGGUUGUCGGAUCGUAAAGCUCGGUUGUAAGAGAAGAACGAGUGUGAGAGUGGAAAGUUCACACUGUGACGGUAACUUACCAGAAAGGGACGGCUAACUACGUG